Molecule: long non-coding RNA, 871 nt
Organism: Mauremys reevesii (Reeves's turtle)
Lineage: Eukaryota; Metazoa; Chordata; Testudines; Geoemydidae
Exons: 3
Source: RefSeq, a predicted model, not a curated record
GCCUGCAUUUUACAGGGGCUUUCUCAGGAAAGAUACUGUACUGAGAGAGCUGUUGGUAUGUUAAAGCUAUGGGAACUGGAGAAAGACAAACCAUCUUCUAAAUGAGACCAUAUAACUCAGACAGUACAACAACGGACACAGGGAUAGGAGAAGAACAGAGACGUUUAGGGUAGGAGGAAAAUUGCCAGUGCUGGGAUGGAACCUGACACCUGCUAACCAGAAGAUUAAAGCUACAAGCCAGAGGCUGAAGAGUUUUGGUAUCACAAGUUUACUGUUAGUGUGUGUCACUGAAGUAAUAGAAAAUGCAAGCUCUGUGGCAAAGCACAAUUAUGCCUGGAAUUUCUCCUCCUCUGCAACAGUGAUAAUUUUGUAUUCAAAUCUUCAAACAAGCUUCAGGACCACUGUUACAAUACAAGCAAGCUCUCUCAACAACAGGGUUUCCAUGCCUGGGGAAACAAAGGUCAGCAUGGUAAAAGUCAGUCUUCUGCAUAGCUACAGCCUUCAACUUGCCCUAGUUGAUAACUGCUGAAGGGAAAAGCAUCAAUAUUAGUGAGAAAUAAUGCAGUGAAAGGCGUUGAAUUCUCAGGCCUGUAAAAUGAAUUUAAAAAACCAAAACCCCCUAUAUAGCACCUUUCAGCAGAGGGUGUCAGAGCAUUGCACGGACAUUUAUCAGGCCUCAUUAAACCCCAGUGAAAUAGUUAUUCCUCUUUUUUACAGGUGGGGAAACUGAGGCAAAGAGAUUUGCUAAGUAUUACACAGCAAGUCAGUGAUAUUGGGAACAGAACCCUUUGUUCCCAGUCAGCUGCUCUAGUCACAAGAUCACAUUCUGUGCACCAUAAGAGCUCCAGCAGGGACAGCAUCAAUCUAAGAA